UAUUUUUAUGCCCCACCUACGAUAGUAGAGGGGCAUUAUGUUUUCUGGUCUGUGCCUCCGUUCGUCCGUCCGCUUCAGGUUAAAGUUUUUGGUCAAGGUAGUUUUUGAAGAAGUUGAAGUCCAAUCAACUUGAAACUUAGUACACUUGUUCCCCAUGAUAUGAUCUUUCUACUUUUAAUGCCAAAUUUUAGUUUUGACCCCAAUUUCAUGGUCCACUGAACAUAGAAAAUGAUAGUGCGAAGUUCAGGUUAAAGUUUUUGGUCAAGGUAGUUUUUGAUGAAGUUAAAGUUACAUCAACUUGAAACUUAGUUCACAUGUUCCCUAUGAUAUGAUCUUUCUAAUUUUAAUUCCAAAUUAAAGUUUUGACCCCAAUUUCACGGUCCACUGAACAUAGAAAAUGAUAGUGCGAGUGGGGCAUUCGUGUACUAUGGACACAUUCUUGUUAUUUGUAGAUUUGAUUUGAAGUGGUAGCAACUUCUAUUUAGAUGAAGUGUAAUUGUUCAUAAUGCAUCAGACUAUGUAAAUUCACUGUAUUCCAAUGAAAACAGUAUAAAAAUGUAUCUUGUGUUAAUUUUU
Molecule: long non-coding RNA, 576 nt
Filed under: Mytilus galloprovincialis (Mediterranean mussel)
Lineage: Eukaryota; Metazoa; Mollusca; Bivalvia; Mytilida; Mytilidae
Source: RNAcentral